GUGAAUCAUCGAAUCUUUGAACGCACAUUGCACUCUCUGGUAUUCCGGAGAGUAUGCCUGUUUGAGGGUCAGUUUAAAUAAAAAUCGGUGUGGUUUCUGCCUUUCGAGGUGACGCACCGGAUUUCGGUCGUCGUGCCUUCGGUUAAGUGACCUACAAUCUGCCACGAUUUUUUCCGAACGUAUUUCAAUGAUUUU
RNAcentral lists this unclassified non-coding RNA (195 nucleotides) under Glomus sp. RNAcentral's name for it is "partial contains 5.8S ribosomal RNA and internal transcribed spacer 2". The stretch from base 1 to 71 matches the Rfam family "5.8S ribosomal RNA", at positions 84 to 154 of the family's 154-position model. Lineage: Eukaryota; Fungi; Glomeromycota; Glomeromycetes; Glomerales; Glomeraceae. The record is from RNAcentral.